This 3274-nucleotide unclassified non-coding RNA is filed under the name Hevea brasiliensis (rubber tree). The record is from RNAcentral. Lineage: Eukaryota; Viridiplantae; Streptophyta; Magnoliopsida; Malpighiales; Euphorbiaceae.
AUGAAAAAUUUUUUAAGUUAAAAAUAAUUAAAUUCUUUCAUUCCAAACAUAAAAUGAACCAAAAUGAAAUAAAUUUAAUUGAACUCUUGUAAAUUCUAGACUCCAGACAGAAGGUCAAGGAUUCAAAAUACACCAUAGUUAGAAAUCUUAAUGACAAAAACUCAGAAAGUUUCAAAUAUCCUAUAAUUAGCCAAUUUAAAAGCUCUAGCUAAAACAAACACAUUGAAAUUUUUAGUUUCUCCACCGUGCACCAAAUAACACUAAACCAAAUUCUUAAUCACAUUUUGACUUUCAAUGAAAUUGUAUGCUUUUAAUUUAUAGAAUACAAAGUUUUUGAAUGAUAAAAGGACAACAAUUAAAAUUUAUAGGUAGGUAACCAAUUUGGUACCUCAUAAAUAAUAACAGAACCACCAAUCAAACACCAAUGUGUACUCACUCAUCAUAAAACACAAUUGGCAAUUACCUGGUUCCAGAAUCACCUUCAGUAUCAGCCUCAGAGACCAAGUGCACAUAAAAGGUAUGGAUUCCUCCAUGAAAAUCAGGAAGUGAUAAUUAGCCAUUUUCUGCUCGGUCAUAUGCAUUGGACUUAUGCUUUGGUGCAAAUGUAAAUCCAUCUGGAACUUUCCCGAGCAACAUUUCAGAGAUUCGAAUCCAGUCAGCAGCAGAAUCAGAAGCCAUAAGUGUUCAAGGUCAUCGCGACCACAGUAGGAGGGUGGACGCCAGUUAAUCUGUUGUGGAAUAACAUCCAGAAGACCAACAGGCAUAUAUCUACAUGCGUAGCUAAGCCGUUCCAAUAAGAAACGCCUAGUUGUCUCCACCCCCGUAAAUGGUAAAAAGCAGGGAUUGCAAUAAUAUUUCUAGCAGUCUCACAUAUACAGGGCACACCUAUUCUCUCUCUUGCUAAAUUAUUACAAAAUAAAUGUCAGCAAAACCCAAAGACUUUAUCAUCCAUUUCAAGGCAACAAGCCUAGUAUCAGCAGCAAUAUGAUUGUAUGCAUUUCUACUAAAUAAAACCAAAAUAAUCAAAAAACAGAAACACUUCUCAUAACAAAGCAUGAAACAAAACAAUUCCAAGGAAAAUGAGAUCUGAGUUAUGGAUAUUAGUUCAUUUGACCAAAAAAUAAAUAUGCAUACCUUUUGUAUCAGAACCCCAAUGUUCAAGCCAAAAUGUACAUAAUCCUUCAAAAUAUCCAAUCGUUCUCCACAACUGAUGUCCCAAUGCCUUUGUUCCCUGAUUUCAGUAAACAUCCAAGGCUGCAAAUGCAAUUAAUGUUAUUCACAGGAAAUAAAAUUGCCUUUGAAGGAAAUACGACCACGGUUCAGAAGCAUGCAAGAAAAAAUUUGCGCUAUUCAAAAAUAUCCAACAUGUUUUGACUUGGACAAUUCCAAUCUCCACUUACAAACUUUAUUUAGUGCUCCUCUAGCUAUCAUGCAUGAAGAGAGCUCAGGGCAGUCUGACUGGCGCUUGGUCCAGUCUGUGUAUGAAAAGAUAUCCCCAUUUCCUAGUACUUGAAGAUAUUCUGGGGCCUUUCUAGCGCAAUGGUAUAUGUAGUCCCAAUCAGCAAGCUUGCUGUAGCGUUGCUGGCGUGAUCUACCAUGUAUUGUUACAGCACUGGCCCCCCAAUUACCAAUGUCCUCAAUUAGUGAGUCAAUACGAUUUUUUCCUUCAAAGUAACCUGUUCGCACCUUCACAGUUAUAGGCUUCUCAACUGUGCCAGAAGCUGCAUUUAUAACCCUUUUCAUUCGCAUUGGUUUUGUAAGAAGACAUGACCCAGCACCCUUGUCAACAACAAUAUCAAUUGGGCAGCCCAUAUUUAUAUCUAUGAAGUCCACAUUACAUUCCUGAUCUAUAAGCUCCACAGUGCGUGCUACAGUAUCUGGAUAUGCCCCACAUAUUUGGACACCAAACAAAUCCUCAGAGGAAUGGCGCCUCAGCAGAGCCCAUUCAGAAGCUUGACCCUGUAAAAGAUUUGUACACAUUGCCAUUUCACCGCAAGUUACAUCAGCUCCCAAUACUUUGCAAACCCUUCGAAAAGGAAGAUUUCCAACAGUGGUCAAAGGUGCGAGAUACAACUUUCCUCUGAAGUCAAUCAACUUCUUUUCACGCAGGUGUGUUUUCAAACUUCCAUCUGUUCCUGUGAGUGCAUCAUCAAUCAUAACUUCUAAUUCUGUUUCUGGACAACUAUUUUCAAGAUCUUUCUCCGGAACACUUAAUCCAUUAGCUUCUUCACCAGAGCAACACUUUUCUUCAAUAAUUGACUUCACUCUUUUCAGAGGCCUAAUUUCAUUAGUUGUUAUUAUUCCAUCAGCAUUCUCCCCGGUUCGCACUUCCAAAGAGCACUCCAAUUUAUCAGCAGAGUCACUGGCUACCUCACCACAACCAUUCUCAUUAGUAGCAUGAGAGUCAUUCACAGAGUUCUGAUCAACUUCCCCAUCAUCCUGCUUUUUUACUCUUGAAUUGCCAGGUCCCAUAAGACCAAGAGACUUGAGUUUAGCAUCUGCUUUGGGGAACUUCAUCUUAUUCUUCCACAAAAGCUUUUGAACAUCCUUGUUCAAUACAUUAAUUUCAGAGUUCUUCUUCAGCGCAUUCGAACUAUUGCCCUUAGCACCAUCUUCAUGUGUCCCAUAGAAUCUACAUGCCAAGCCAUAAGGACACGGCCCAUCUCCAUUAGUAAACGGACAUUUCCCCUCUAAAUCAGCCGGUUUCUCAGCCUUAAAGGCUUCUAUGUCAUGGCUGAAUCUGCACUUAUCACCAUAAGCACACGAACUAACGUCCUCACUCUUCGCUACCUCAGGGCACAGAUGCAAUGCAGAUUUCUGACGGCGUUCGCGUUUGAGUUGGCGUUUGGACUUCUUCUCCUUGGCUACUACACUUGACUUAGAGGCCUUGGCAUCGGCAUCGGAAACGGCAGUGUCCCUUUGGUUGGUUCUGGAAGGCGGAGGACGAAGGAACUCUCUCUUUACUGGAGCUAUGGCUUUGGCCACAAGCUCCUCCGGUGUUCGAUGAGUUCCAUUAGGGUUCAAAGGUUGUGAUGGUGGUUGGUCGACUAUAAGGUUCAUGUGUUCAAUGAGAUCGGCAGCAGACUCGGCCAUGUCGCACGAGUUAACUCACUCAACCAAUUCGGUGGCGGUGGCAGUGGGAGUGGCAGUUCAUCACCAGUUCAUGUAUCUUCGUACUUGAAUGGACAGUAGGGUUUAUUAAGGUCAUAACUGUCAAUCUAAAACGACGCAAGAUACUAUCGUUUGCGAUUAUAUAUAUAUAUCAAAUUUAAAA